Molecule: long non-coding RNA, 724 nt
Organism: Frieseomelitta varia
Lineage: Eukaryota; Metazoa; Arthropoda; Insecta; Hymenoptera; Apidae
Exons: 2
Source: RefSeq, a predicted model, not a curated record
GGUAUGAAAAAUUCAAAAUAUAAUAAAUAUUCAAAUGAUCUAAGUUCAAAAUUUUAGUAUUACAUUUAUAAUAAGUGAUUUUGAUGUGAAAAUUGAAAUUAAGAAAGAAAAACUACUAACUUUAUUGAUCUUAAUUAGUCUUUGAACAGUAGUUUCUUUUAUUGUAUGUGCUAUUACUAACUUCUUAAUAUUGAGUUUGCAGGUGGUUGGGUCCAGAAGAAACACAAGCAAAUUGUAUUCUUUAUACUUUAAGCAUUGCGCGAACAUGUUUUACUUAAUUCAACAAAAUUUACAUAGAUUUCUUAUUUAUUAUUAAUUUGCAGUUUCUUUCAGGCAUAUUAUUUUAGUUUAUAGUAUUCAUUAGAAUCUUAUGCUACUUUUCUUGAAGUUAUUAGAGUAUUAUAGAAGGUAAAAGAAAACCCGUAUCAAUGACCCACGUGGAAGUGGAUCGAAUGGAUUUUUCGUGCUUGCGUCAAUAAUUAACGUCACAUUAGAAGAACGAAGAACAUUAGGAUUGGCUCUUUCAGCAUCAAUUUAUUUCCUAUAUUAAGAAGAUUUAGCAGGUGUGUGUCUUACCGUUCUUCGACGAACGAUACAUCGAAGUCACGGAUAUUACUAAUCUACCUAGGUAAGGAAACAAACCAACUCUUGUCUGUCCAUACUUCUUCCCUUGUACAUGUACACCCUAUUAAGCAUUUAAAUAAAUUGAUCAGAAAUCUGGAAA